This is a long non-coding RNA of Mauremys reevesii (Reeves's turtle), 1135 nucleotides long. RefSeq lists it as uncharacterized. The transcript is spliced from 3 exons. The record is from RefSeq and is a predicted model, not a curated record. Lineage: Eukaryota; Metazoa; Chordata; Testudines; Geoemydidae.
GUAGGAGCUUGCUGAAGGAAGCUGACGGUGUCUCCUGAGCAAAGGCUGAGGGUAGGACAGCAGUAACGUGGUUUUCCAGCUGACCUCCCCAAGCCAAAGAGCCAGGGCUGAAGACCAGAAAGCAGCAGCAGGAAUUUCUGGCUAACUUCUAAACUGGAGGGCUGAAGGCAGGGGAGCAGCAGAGGGACUUAUCUGCUAGUGUCUUGAUGCUGGAGAGCUGGAGCCAGAGGAACAGUGCAGAGCCAACUGGUUGGUUUGUCUGAGACAAAAGAAAUUGUCAUUUCCUGAUCUGAAGGAACGGGGCUGCCUUUCAACAGACACGAAGAGAGCUUGAUUUCAGCUAGCAAAAUAACUGAGUGUUUGAAUGCAACCGUGACAGCCUGGGCAUAUAAAGAACUAGAAGACUCAUCACAAAAUCACACACUAAGGUAAAAUAUUACUGCUCUGAAACAGCAGCAUGAUCUACCAAAUGCUAUCAAAGAUUAAUUGGUCUCAACAUCGCACUACGCAUCUUGCAAAGCUGUAUAAUAGAUGUGACUGGGAAUGACAGUCAUUACCUGCAUGAAGCCGAUCAGACAAGCAUCCUAAACUUCUUCAUAUGCUAGGGUCCAUUCUGGCGUCCAAGGUAAAUGAACAGUUCAUCAUGUUUUCCAAAACUAUGUACAGAAAUGUUGGCUGUAUAAAAAAUUACAGUUGCAGAAUGAUAGAACAUGAAUAAUUUCCAAGGUUCAAUUGCCAUCUCAUCUAGAGUAAAAUAUCAGUCAGUUUCAUCUCUGCAGAAGCGACACCAUUUGGGUUUUUUUUUUUUAAAGUUUUGAGUAUGGGUUCUUCUAAAGACAAUGCAACUCUGUCAAAAAGCCAAAGGUGACACUCUACCACUUUCCCUCUAGUACGUGGGACAUCAAUUUGCCUGGAGCCAGGAGAAGAAUGACUGUGCAUUCAGAAGAUUUCUUUUCAUCUAUGAUCAGAAUAAAUUAAUACUAAUAAAAACAGAACAGAGAUCCCCUUUUGACAUCGUUUUAUACUGUUUAAAAGACAAACAUUUGCACACUGCAAGCCACAAAUGGAUAAAAGCUCCAGUGAGAAUUUAUAAUCCAUCUGUUAGUUUCCUAAAGAGACCACUAACUAUGAUUGU